AUUUAUUUAGUAUAUUAGUAUAUUUGACUUCCAAUCAAAAGGUCUGAAUUACGUCAGAAUAAAUA
Molecule: transfer RNA, 65 nt
Filed under: Enallagma cyathigerum
Lineage: Eukaryota; Metazoa; Arthropoda; Insecta; Odonata; Coenagrionidae
Description: tRNA-Gly
Rfam family: tRNA
About the family: Transfer RNA (tRNA) molecules are approximately 80 nucleotides in length. Their secondary structure includes four short double-helical elements and three loops (D, anti-codon, and T loops). Further hydrogen bonds mediate the characteristic L-shaped molecular structure. tRNAs have two regions of fundamental functional importance: the anti-codon, which is responsible for specific mRNA codon recognition, and the 3' end, to which the tRNAs corresponding amino acid is attached (by aminoacyl-tRNA synthetases). tRNAs cope with the degeneracy of the genetic code in two manners: having more than one tRNA (with a specific anti-codon) for a particular amino acid; and 'wobble' base-pairing, i.e. permitting non-standard base-pairing at the 3rd anti-codon position.
Source: RNAcentral